RNAcentral lists this ribosomal RNA (427 nucleotides) under uncultured Acidobacterium sp. Its description in RNAcentral is "bacterial SSU rRNA". It matches the Rfam family "Bacterial small subunit ribosomal RNA", at positions 958 to 1385 of the family's 1533-position model. The record is from RNAcentral. Lineage: Bacteria; Pseudomonadati; Acidobacteriota; Terriglobia; Terriglobales; Acidobacteriaceae.
AACGCGAAGAACCUUACCUGGGCUCGAAGCACAGUGGACCGGGGUAGAAAUAUCCCUUUUCGCAAGAACUGCUGUGGAGGUGCUGCAUGGCUGUCGUCAGCUCGUGUCGUGAGAUGUUGGGUUAAGUCCCGCAACGAGCGCAACCCUUAUCGUUAGUUGCCAGCGAGUCAAGUCGGGCACUCUAGCGAAACCGCCUCGGAUAACGGGGAGGAAGGUGGGGAUGACGUCAAGUCCUCAUGGCCUUUAUGUCCAGGGCUACACACGUGCUACAAUGGCCGGUACAAACCGUCGCAAACUCGCGAGAGGGAGCUAAUCGGAGAAAGCCGGCCUCAGUUCGGAUUGGAGUCUGCAACUCGACUCCAUGAAGCUGGAAUCGCUAGUAAUCGCGGAUCAGCACGCCGCGGUGAAUACGUUCCCGGGCCUUGUA